GAUCCUGGGCUCAGGAUGAACGCUAGCGGCAGGCCUAACACAUGCAAGUCGAGGGGCAGCACGGUGUAGCAAUACACUGGUGGCGACCGGCGCACGGGUGCGUAACGCGUAUGCAACCUACCCAUAACAGGGGGAUAACACUGAGAAAUUGGUACUAAUACCCCAUAACAUCAGGACCGGCAUCGGUUCUGGUUGAAAACUCCGGUGGUUAUGGAUGGGCAUGCGUUGUAUUAGCUGGUUGGUG
RNAcentral lists this ribosomal RNA (244 nucleotides) under uncultured bacterium. Its description in RNAcentral is "partial 16S ribosomal RNA". It matches the Rfam family "Bacterial small subunit ribosomal RNA", at positions 15 to 254 of the family's 1533-position model. The record is from RNAcentral.